GUCUUUUUGAAUUAAAUUUAAAGUCUAACCUGCCCACUGAAAAUUUUAAAUGGCCGCAGUAUUCUAACUGUGCAAAGGUAGCAUAAUCAUUAGUCUUUUAAUUGAAGGCUGGAAUGAAUGGUUGGACGAAAUAUUAACUGUUUCAUUUAAAUUUUUUAUAGAAUUUUAUUAUUUAGUCAAAAAGCUAAAAUAAAUUUAAAAGACGAGAAGACCCUAUAAAUCUUUAUAUUUUGUUUAUUUUAAUUAUAAAGAUUAUUUUUAUUAUAAUAAAUUAAAAUAUUUUAUUGGGGUGAUAUUAAAAUUUAAAAAACUUUUAAUUUUUAAAACCAUUAAUUUAUGAAUAAUUGAUCCAUUUAUAAUGAUUAAAAAUUUAAGUUACUUUAGGGAUAACAGCGUAAUUUUUUUGGAGAGUUCAUAUCGAUAAAAAAGAUUGCGACCUCGAUGUUGGAUUAAGAUAUAAUUUUGGGUGUAGCCGUUCAAAUUUUAAGUCUGUUCGACUUUUAAAUUCUU
This 510-nucleotide ribosomal RNA is filed under the name Drosophila latigena. Its description in RNAcentral is "partial 16S ribosomal RNA". The stretch from base 386 to 510 matches the Rfam family "Bacterial large subunit ribosomal RNA", at positions 2473 to 2597 of the family's 2925-position model. The record is from RNAcentral. Lineage: Eukaryota; Metazoa; Arthropoda; Insecta; Diptera; Drosophilidae.